Molecule: ribosomal RNA, 2906 nt
Filed under: Citrobacter freundii
Lineage: Bacteria; Pseudomonadati; Pseudomonadota; Gammaproteobacteria; Enterobacterales; Enterobacteriaceae
Description: 23S ribosomal RNA
Rfam family: Bacterial large subunit ribosomal RNA
Source: RNAcentral
GGUUAAGCGACUAAGCGUACACGGUGGAUGCCCCGGCAGUCAGAGGCGAUGAAGGACGUGCUAAUCUGCGAUAAGCGUCGGUAAGGUGAUAUGAACCGUUAUAACCGGCGAUUUCCGAAUGGGGAAACCCAGUGUGAUUCGUCACACUAUCAUUACGUGAAUACAUAGCGUAAUGAAGCGAACCGGGGGAACUGAAACAUCUAAGUACCCCGAGGAAAAGAAAUCAACCGAGAUUCCCCCAGUAGCGGCGAGCGAACGGGGAGCAGCCCAGAGUCUGAAUCAGCUUGUGUGUUAGUGGAACGGUCUGGAAAGUCCGACGGUACAGGGUGAUAGUCCCGUACACCAAAAUGCACAGGUUGUGAACUCGAAGAGUAGGGCGGGACACGUGGUAUCCUGUCUGAAUAUGGGGGGACCAUCCUCCAAGGCUAAAUACUCCUGACUGACCGAUAGUGAACCAGUACCGUGAGGGAAAGGCGAAAAGAACCCCGGCGAGGGGAGUGAAAAAGAACCUGAAACCGUGUACGUACAAGCAGUGGGAGCCUCUUUAUGGGGUGACUGCGUACCUUUUGUAUAAUGGGUCAGCGACUUAUAUUCUGUAGCAAGGUUAACCGUAUAGGGGAGCCGAAGGGAAACCGAGUCUUAACUGGGCGUUAAGUUGCAGGGUAUAGACCCGAAACCCGGUGAUCUAGCCAUGGGCAGGUUGAAGGUUGGGUAACACUAACUGGAGGACCGAACCGACUAAUGUUGAAAAAUUAGCGGAUGACUUGUGGCUGGGGGUGAAAGGCCAAUCAAACCGGGAGAUAGCUGGUUCUCCCCGAAAGCUAUUUAGGUAGCGCCUCGUGAACUCAUCUUCGGGGGUAGAGCACUGUUUCGGCUAGGGGGUCAUCCCGACUUACCAACCCGAUGCAAACUGCGAAUACCGAAGAAUGUUAUCACGGGAGACACACGGCGGGUGCUAACGUCCGUCGUGAAGAGGGAAACAACCCAGACCGCCAGCUAAGGUCCCAAAGUCAUGGUUAAGUGGGAAACGAUGUGGGAAGGCACAGACAGCCAGGAUGUUGGCUUAGAAGCAGCCAUCAUUUAAAGAAAGCGUAAUAGCUCACUGGUCGAGUCGGCCUGCGCGGAAGAUGUAACGGGGCUAAACCAUGCACCGAAGCUGCGGCAGCGACACUAUGUGUUGUUGGGUAGGGGAGCGUUCUGUAAGCCGUUGAAGGUGUAUCGUGAGGUAUGCUGGAGGUAUCAGAAGUGCGAAUGCUGACAUAAGUAACGAUAAUGCGGGUGAAAAACCCGCACGCCGGAAGACCAAGGGUUCCUGUCCAACGUUAAUCGGGGCAGGGUGAGUCGACCCCUAAGGCGAGGCCGAAAGGCGUAGUCGAUGGGAAACAGGUUAAUAUUCCUGUACUUGGUGUUACUGCGAAGGGGGACGGAGAAGGCUAUGUUAGCCGGGCGACGGUUGUCCCGGUUUAAGCAUGUAGGCGGAGGUUCCAGGUAAAUCCGGUACCUUUUUAACGCUGAGGUGUGAUGACGAGGCACUACGGUGCUGAAGUAACAAAUGCCCUGCUUCCAGGAAAAGCCUCUAAGCAUCAGGUAACACGAAAUCGUACCCCAAACCGACACAGGUGGUCAGGUAGAGAAUACCAAGGCGCUUGAGAGAACUCGGGUGAAGGAACUAGGCAAAAUGGUGCCGUAACUUCGGGAGAAGGCACGCUGAUAUGUAGGUGAAGUGAUUUACUCAUGGAGCUGAAAUCAGUCGAAGAUACCAGCUGGCUGCAACUGUUUAUUAAAAACACAGCACUGUGCAAACACGAAAGUGGACGUAUACGGUGUGACGCCUGCCCGGUGCCGGAAGGUUAAUUGAUGGGGUUAUCCGUAAGGAGAAGCUCUUGAUCGAAGCCCCGGUAAACGGCGGCCGUAACUAUAACGGUCCUAAGGUAGCGAAAUUCCUUGUCGGGUAAGUUCCGACCUGCACGAAUGGCGUAAUGAUGGCCGGGCUGUCUCCACCCGAGACUCAGUGAAAUUGAACUCGCUGUGAAGAUGCAGUGUACCCGCGGCAAGACGGAAAGACCCCGUGAACCUUUACUAUAGCUUGACACUGAACACUGGUCCUUGAUGUGUAGGAUAGGUGGGAGGCUUUGAAGUGUGGACGCCAGUCUGCAUGGAGCCAUCCUUGAAAUACCACCCUUUAAUGGCUGGUGUUCUAACGUGGACCCGUAAUCCGGGUUGCGGACAGUGUCUGGUGGGUAGUUUGACUGGGGCGGUCUCCUCCUAAAGAGUAACGGAGGAGCACGAAGGUUAGCUAAUCCUGGUCGGACAUCAGGAGGUUAGUGCAAAGGCAUAAGCUAGCUUGACUGCGAGAGUGACGGCUCGAGCAGGUGCGAAAGCAGGUCUUAGUGAUCCGGUGGUUCUGAAUGGAAGGGCCAUCGCUCAACGGAUAAAAGGUACUCCGGGGAUAACAGGCUGAUACCGCCCAAGAGUUCAUAUCGACGGCGGUGUUUGGCACCUCGAUGUCGGCUCAUCACAUCCUGGGGCUGAAGUAGGUCCCAAGGGUAUGGCUGUUCGCCAUUUAAAGUGGUACGCGAGCUGGGUUUAGAACGUCGUGAGACAGUUCGGUCCCUAUCUGCCGUGGGCGCUGGAGAAUUGAGGGGGGCUGCUCCUAGUACGAGAGGACCGGAGUGGACGCAUCACUGGUGUUCGGGUUGUCAUGCCAAUGGCAUUGCCCGGUAGCUAAAUGCGGAAGAGAUAAGUGCUGAAAGCAUCUAAGCACGAAACUUGCCCCGAGAUGAGUUCUCCCUGAGACUUUAAGUCUCCUGAAGGAACGUUGAAGACGACGACGUUGAUAGGUCGGGUGUGUAAGCGUAGCGAUACGUUGAGCUAACCGAUACUAAUGAACCGUGAGGCUUAACCUU